Molecule: ribosomal RNA, 235 nt
Filed under: uncultured bacterium
Lineage: Bacteria
Description: partial 16S ribosomal RNA
Rfam family: Bacterial small subunit ribosomal RNA
Source: RNAcentral
ACUCCUACGGGAGGCAGCAGUGAGGAAUAUUGGUCGAAAUCGGAGGGAACUCUGAACCAGCCAUCCCGCGUGUAGGAAGACGGCCUUAUGGGUUGUAAACUACUUUUAUACAGGAAGAAACGUACCCUCGUGAGGGUGCCUGACGGUACUGUAGGAAUAAGCACCGGCUAACUCCGUGCCAGCAGCCGCGGUAAUACGGAGGGUGCGAGCGUUAUCCGGAUUUAUUGGGUUUAAA